RNAcentral lists this non-coding RNA (22 nucleotides) under Arabidopsis thaliana (thale cress). The record is from RNAcentral. Lineage: Eukaryota; Viridiplantae; Streptophyta; Magnoliopsida; Brassicales; Brassicaceae.
GAGCUUGGGAACCUUCACAGCA